RNAcentral lists this ribosomal RNA (440 nucleotides) under uncultured bacterium. RNAcentral describes it as "partial 16S ribosomal RNA". It matches the Rfam family "Bacterial small subunit ribosomal RNA", at positions 338 to 795 of the family's 1533-position model. The record is from RNAcentral.
CCUACGGGGGGCAGCAGUGGGGAAUUUUGCGCAAUGGGCGAAACCCUGACGCAGCGACGCCGCGUGAUUGAAUAAGUACUUCGGUAUGUAAAGCUCUAUCAGCAGGGAAGAAACUGACGGUACCUGACAAAGAAACCCCGGCCAACCACGGGACAGGAGCCGGGGUAAUACGGAGGGGGCAAGCGUUUUCCGGAUUUACUGGGGGGAAAGGGGGCGUAGACGGCAACACAAGUCUGGGGUGAAAUGCCGGGGCUUAACCCCGGAACUGCCUUGGAAACUGUGCGGCCGGAGUGCAGGAGGGGUAAGGGGAAUUCCUGGUGUAGCGGUGAAAUGCGUAGAUAUUAGGAGGAACAUCGGUGGCGAAGGCGGCUUACUGGACUGUAACUGACGCUGAGGCUCGAAAGCGUGGGGAGCAAACGGGAUUAGAUACCCGAGUAGUC